This 245-nucleotide ribosomal RNA is filed under the name uncultured bacterium. Its description in RNAcentral is "partial 16S ribosomal RNA". It matches the Rfam family "Bacterial small subunit ribosomal RNA", at positions 524 to 768 of the family's 1533-position model. The record is from RNAcentral.
UACGGGGGGUGCAAGCGUUGUUCGGAAUUAUUGGGCGUAAAGAGCGUGUAGGCGGCAGGAUAAGUCAGAUGUGAAAGCCCUGAGCUUAACUCAGGAAGUGCAUUUGAAACUGUCCCGCUUGAGUAAGGGAGAGGGAAGUGGAAUUCCUGGUGUAGAGGUGAAAUUCGUAGAUAUCAGGAGGAACACCGGUGGCGAAGGCGACUUCCUGGCCCUAUACUGACGCUGAGACGCGAGAGCGUGGGUAG